This 253-nucleotide ribosomal RNA is filed under the name uncultured bacterium. RNAcentral describes it as "partial 16S ribosomal RNA". It matches the Rfam family "Bacterial small subunit ribosomal RNA", at positions 524 to 776 of the family's 1533-position model. The record is from RNAcentral.
UACGGAGGGUGCGAGCGUUAUCCGGAAUUACUGGGCUUAAAGGGUGCGUAGGCGGCUUGGUAAGUCAGGAGUGAAAGUUUGCGGCUCAACCGUAAAAUUGCUUUUGAUACUGCCAGGCUAGAAUCAGGAUGAGGUCAGCGGAAUGUGGCAUGUAGCGGUGAAAUGCAUAGAUAUGCCAUAGAACACCUAUUGCGAAGGCAGCUGGCUAGACCUGUAUUGACGCUGAGGCACGAAAGCGUGGGGAGCGAACAGG